RNAcentral lists this ribosomal RNA (1086 nucleotides) under Triticum aestivum (bread wheat). Its description in RNAcentral is "partial small subunit ribosomal RNA". Lineage: Eukaryota; Viridiplantae; Streptophyta; Magnoliopsida; Poales; Poaceae. The record is from RNAcentral.
AUGGCGGGAAGGGAUCUGUUCGGCUUGCCCAAGAGCCAGCCGGCGCCGGCGCCAGCAGCUCCGGCAGCGCCGCCGUCCUCGGCAGCCAUGCAGAGCGUGCGCAUGGCGUACACCGCGGACGGCACACCCGUGUUUGCCCCGGUGAGCUCUGCGGUCGCGCCGCCGGGUUACCAACCGGCAGGGUCUGCAGCACCAGCGCAUGGCUCUAGCAUGUCCGCUGCUCGGGCCGCCGGAGGAAAUGGCGUCGCUGCGCCGCCGGGCAUGGGUGAACCGUCGGCGAAGAAGAAGCGCGGGCGGCCAAGGAAGUACGGGCCCGACGCGGCCAUGUCUCUGGCACUGGUGACUGUGCCGACGGCUGCAGGCUCGACAGGUGUGACACAGGGUGCUUCUGGGCGGCCGUUCUCACCCACGCUGCCGGGAAACUUCGUGCCGUCGGCGUCGCCGGAUGGAGGGAAGAAACGCGGCCGGCCCAAGGGAUCUACCAACAAGCCCCGCGUGGAUGGUGCCGGGCCGGCAGGAGUUGGAUUCACACCUCAUGUUCUUACAGUUCAAGCUGGGGAGGAUGUAUCGUCAAAGAUUAUGUCAUUUUCUCAGAAUGGAACUCGUGCAGUUUGUGUUCUCUCAGCAAAUGGUUCCAUAUCAAAUGUAACACUUCGUCAAACUGGUACAUCAGGUGGAACUGUAACAUAUGAGGGCCGAUUUGAGAUACUGUCACUCUCCGGGUCGAUCUUUGUAACGGACAACGGAGGCCAGCGUACCCGAACAGGGGGCCUCAGCGUUUCGUUGGCUGGUCCUGACGGUCGUCUCUUGGGUGGAGGGGUCGCAGGACUUCUCAUAGCAGCUUCUCCAAUCCAGAUAGUAGUGGGAAGCUUCAAUGCUGGUGGGAAAAAAGAGCCGAAGCCACAGGCUCCUCCUGAGCCCGUACCACUGAAGGUCGUUCCAAGCACUGGGAUGGCGGCCAACAGCCCCCCUUCAAGAGGCACAUUGAGCGAAUCGUCUGGUGGCACCGCAAGCCCAAGACAUCAAGGCUACGCCUCCAACAACAAUAACCAGCCGCCGAUCUUGUCCAGCAUGCCCUGGAAAUAA